AUUGAACGCUGGCGGCAGGCCUAGCACAUGCAAGUCGAACGAGUGGCGGACGGGUGAGUAAUGUCUGGGAAACUGCCUGAUGGAGGGGGAUAACUACUGGAAACGGUAGCUAAUACCGCAUACCAUCGGAUGUGCCCAGAUGGGAUUAGCUAGGAGGUGGGGUAAAGGCUCACCUAGGCGACGAUCCCUAGCUGGUCUGAGAGGAUGACCAGCAAAAAUGGAACUGAGACACGGUCAAGAGUCCUACGGGAGGAAGCAGUGGGGAAUAUUGCACAAGGGGCGCAAGCCUACUGAAGAAAUGCCGCGUGUAUGAAGAAGGCAUUCGGGUUGUAAAGUACUUUCAGCGGGGAGGCGUUACCCGAAGAAGAAGCACCGGCUAACUCCGUGCCAGCAGCCGCGGUAAUUC
RNAcentral lists this ribosomal RNA (406 nucleotides) under uncultured bacterium. Its description in RNAcentral is "partial 16S ribosomal RNA". It matches the Rfam family "Bacterial small subunit ribosomal RNA", at positions 29 to 526 of the family's 1533-position model. The record is from RNAcentral.